UACAGAGGGUGCGAGCGUUAAUCGGAAUUACUGGGCGUAAAGCGUGCGUAGACGGUUCCGUAAGUCGGAUGUGAAAUCCCCGGGCUCAACCUGGGAAUUGCAUUCGAGACUGCGAGGCUAGGGUGCGGAAGAGGGAAGCGGAAUUUCCGGUGUAGCGGUGAAAUGCGUAGAUAUCGGAAGGAACAUCAGUGGCGAAGGCGGCUUCCUGGUCCAGCACCGACGUUCAGGCACGAAAGCGUGGGGAGCAAACAGG
Molecule: ribosomal RNA, 253 nt
Filed under: uncultured bacterium
Lineage: Bacteria
Description: partial 16S ribosomal RNA
Rfam family: Bacterial small subunit ribosomal RNA
Source: RNAcentral